Molecule: ribosomal RNA, 828 nt
Filed under: Vibrio parahaemolyticus
Lineage: Bacteria; Pseudomonadati; Pseudomonadota; Gammaproteobacteria; Vibrionales; Vibrionaceae
Description: partial 23S ribosomal RNA
Rfam family: Bacterial large subunit ribosomal RNA
Source: RNAcentral
UGAGUAACAUCAACUGGAGGACCGAACCGACUAAUGUUGAAAAAUUAGCGGAUGACUUGUGGCUAGGGGUGAAAGGCCAAUCAAACCUGGAGAUAGCUGGUUCUCCCCGAAAGCUAUUUAGGUAGCGCCUCGGACGAAUACUACUGGGGGUAGAGCACUGUUAAGGCUAGGGGGUCAUCCCGACUUACCAACCCUUUGCAAACUCCGAAUACCAGUAAGUACUAUCCGGGAGACACACGGCGGGUGCUAACGUCCGUCGUGGAGAGGGAAACAACCCAGACCGCCAGCUAAGGUCCCAAAUUACUACUAAGUGGGAAACGAUGUGGGAAGGCUCAGACAGCCAGGAUGUUGGCUUAGAAGCAGCCAUCAUUUAAAGAAAGCGUAAUAGCUCACUGGUCGAGUCGGCCUGCGCGGAAGAUGUAACGGGGCUAAGUAGUAAACCGAAGCUGCGGCAAUGUGCUUUUGCACAUUGGGUAGGGGAGCGUUCUGUAAGCGGUUGAAGGUGUGUGGUAACGCAUGCUGGACGUAUCAGAAGUGCGAAUGCUGACAUGAGUAACGAUAAAGGGGGUGAAAAACCUCCUCGCCGGAAGACCAAGGGUUCCUGUCCAACGUUAAUCGGGGCAGGGUAAGUCGACCCCUAAGGCGAGGCCGAAAGGCGUAGUCGAUGGGAAACGGGUUAAUAUUCCCGUACUUCUUACAAUUGCGAUGGGGGGACGGAGAAGGCUAGGUGGGCCUGGCGACGGUUGUCCAGGUUCAAGUGCGUAGGCUUAAGAGUUAGGUAAAUCCGGCUCUUUCUAAGGCUGAGACACGACGUCGAGCAUCUACGGA